UGGAAACUUUACAGUUUUAUGCAAGCCU
Molecule: non-coding RNA, 28 nt
Filed under: Rattus norvegicus (Norway rat)
Lineage: Eukaryota; Metazoa; Chordata; Mammalia; Rodentia; Muridae
Source: RNAcentral